GACGAACGCUGGCGGCGCGCUUAACACAUGCAAGUCGAGCGAUGAAAUCUUAACAGAACCCUUCGGGGUGAAGAUAAGACGGAUUAGCGGCGGACGGGUGAGUAACACGUGAGUAACCUGCCUUUUACACAGGGAUAGCCUCAGGAAACCGGGAUUAAAACCUGAUGAAACUAUCAAAUCACAUGAUUAAGAAAGUUAAAACUCCGGUGGUAAAAGAUGGACUCGCGUCCCAUUAGCUAGUUGGUGAAGGUAACGGCCCACCAAGGCAACGAUGGGUAGCCGGCCUGAGAGGGGGAACGGCCACAUUGGAACUGAGAAGCGGUCCAAACUCCUACGGGAGGCAGCAGUGGGGAAUAUUGCACAAUGGGGGAAACCCUGAUGCAGCGACGCCGCGUGAGCGAAGAAGGCCUUCGGGUCGUAAAGCUCUUUUAUAUGGGAAGAUAAUGACGGUACCAUAAGAAAAAGCCCCGGCUAACUACGUG
Molecule: ribosomal RNA, 482 nt
Filed under: uncultured bacterium
Lineage: Bacteria
Description: partial 16S ribosomal RNA
Rfam family: Bacterial small subunit ribosomal RNA
Source: RNAcentral